ACCAACAACAAACCCCAAACCAGCCUAUGCAAAACAGCAGCACAAGCCUAGGAAGAUCCAACCGGAACGAACCAAAUCAAAAACACCAACAACGAACCUCCGAUACAGAGAAAAGGAGACCUGACGAGAAGCCACAAACUAGCAACUACGGAAGACGCAGCUGACACCAACGUCCACCCACAAGACAGAAGAGAUUCGCCGUUAACGGAUAACCGCCACACGAACAACCAAAAGCAGCAAUUCCAAACAAAUUGACGCCGAGGAAGCUUCCACUUGUGUCACAGAUCCAAUGCCCUUCACUCUCUGCCACCAGAAGCUUGAAAACCGUUGAAGGAGAGACCGAUGAAGACACGAAGAAACAGAAGCUCGGAGGUGAGACCAAGAACCGGAUCAACACCAACACUGAAAAGGGAGAAAGGCGAAAGAGACCGGCUAGCUAAACCGGAAUCCAGAGGCACCACAAGCACAGCCACCGAAGGAGACCAUAACCAACAUUAGACGUGCGUACUUAAUAUAUACAACAUAACCAAAUUCCUUAGUUAUUAAUUACAGCAAACUUGCAUAA
Molecule: long non-coding RNA, 565 nt
Filed under: Capsella grandiflora
Lineage: Eukaryota; Viridiplantae; Streptophyta; Magnoliopsida; Brassicales; Brassicaceae
Description: long non-coding RNA (CGRA_LNC000095)
Source: RNAcentral